RNAcentral lists this ribosomal RNA (301 nucleotides) under uncultured bacterium. Its description in RNAcentral is "partial 16S ribosomal RNA". It matches the Rfam family "Bacterial small subunit ribosomal RNA", at positions 509 to 807 of the family's 1533-position model. The record is from RNAcentral.
CAGCCGCCGCGGUAAUACGAAGGGUGCAAGCGUUAAUCGGAAUUACUGGGCGUAAAGCGUGCGUAGGCGGUUUGUUAAGUCUGCUGUGAAAUCCCCGGGCUCAACCUGGGAAUGGCAGUGGAUACUGGCAAGCUAGAGUGUGUCAGAGGAUGGUGGAAUUCCCGGUGUAGCGGUGAAAUGCGUAGAGAUCGGGAGGAACAUCAGUGGCGAAGGCGGCCAUCUGGGACAACACUGACGCUGAGGCACGAAAGCGUGGGGAGCAAACAGGAUUAGAUACCCCUGUAGUCCCUGUCUCUUAUAC